ACUUGCGCACUAGAUGUGUUUGGUGCUUCUAGUUAUCUAACAGUGCCGCCAUUUUGAGAGAGAAGCUCCAAGUUCUCAUCUUGAUUGAGUUGUUCCAAUCUUGAGAGAUAUGAAGCAACCCAGAUAAUUAUUCAAAGAUACCCUGGCUUCGGAAUCCCGCCACUGUUUUUUUUUCAUUCAUCAAAGAAAUCAAGCAAUCAAGAAAGCUGAUAUAAGAAUCGAGUACAUGAUAUGUAUACGCUGUCAAUGAGUGCAUUAGAAAGCUCCACACUUUACUCUCUUUCACAGACUUGACUACAUUUCCUGAACUGCCCCACUUUACAAAGAUUCUGGUAUAAAGACAACACGAACAUAAUUGGCAUGUCUUCGUGGAUUCGAUCACUUUCAGCUCAGAAGAGGAAGUUUGGUUAUGGUCUCCUUUGCAAUCCAACUAAGAGUUCCACUAAAUCAGGCCCACAGUUAAAAAGGCACAGAGACCUGUCUAGCAUAUGGUCGUUUUCUACCAGUUCCUCGUUCAAUUGCAUAGGAGUACCGUCUUUGAGAUGGGCCCAAAGUAGGCGAGUCUCAAUCAUACAUCCUUGCAUUGUUCAGGCUACAGCAGAACUCUGCACGCUAGCUGAUGUUGAACAGUCUUAUACUGAUUCUUGCAGUGAUGCAAGUGCUCCUUUGGAGGGGUCCCAUAUUGAUUCUGAUGGUCAUGUUGCAACCAAGGAAGCUAGAGUCAAGUAUGAAAAGCCAGUAGAUUUCACCAAAGUGAAAAAGAAUCUGCUUCCAACUGUUAUUCUUGUUGGGCGCCCAAAUGUGGGGAAGUCAGCUUUGUUUAAUCGUUUGAUCCGGAGGCGGGAGGCUCUUGUAUACAACACACCAGAUGAUCAUGUUACUCGUGACUUCAGAGAUGGCAUUGCUAAAUUGGGUGAUCUACGAUUCAGAGUAUUGGACUCAGCCGGCUUGGAAACAGCAGCUUCUUCGGGUUCUAUUCUUGACAGAACAGCGGGGAUGACUGCAAAUAUUUUGGCAAGAUCUCAAUUUGCUGUCUUCCUUAUAGAUGUGAGAGCUGGACUGCACCCACUUGAUAUGGAGGUUGGAAGGUGGUUGCGCAAGAAUGCCCCAGGAAUCAAUAUUGUAGUUGCAAUGAAUAAAUCAGAGUCUCUUUUUGAUGGUAGUGGCUCUCUUGCUGCUGCUGCUGCUGAAGCUUACAGGUUGGGAUGGGGUGAUCCUAUUGCCAUUUCAGCUGAAACUGGACUUGGUAUGCAAGAUCUUUAUUCAAGCCUAAAGCCUAUGCUUGAGGAUUAUAUGCUCAAUGUCUUAAACAAUGAGGAAAACACUGAUGAGGGCAAUUUCAGUGACGACAGCUCCUCUGAGGUUGAGGAUAGUAAGCUGCCGUUACAGUUAGCAAUUGUGGGGAAACCCAAUGUUGGCAAGUCAACCCUGCUGAACACAUUGUUACAACAAGAACGUGUGCUGGUAGGUCCGGAGGCUGGUUUGACAAGAGAUUCUAUUAGAGCUGAGUUUGAAUUUAAAGGGAGAACUAUAUACCUGGUCGAUACUGCAGGCUGGUUGCAGAGAACAAAGAUGGAGAAAGGACCAUCAUCCUUGAGCAUUGUGCAGUCAAGAAAGAGUCUCAUGAGAGCUCAUGUAAUUGCUCUGGUCCUGGAUGCCGAAGAGAUCUCAAAGGCUAGAAGAAGUAUGAAGCAUGAUGAAGUAGUUAUAGCUAGACAGGCUAUUGAAGAAGGGCGUGGUUUAGUGGUGAUUGUGAACAAGAUGGAUCUGUUGAAAGAACAAGAAGUUUGUGACAAGGUUAUGGAAGCUGUACCUCAAGAAAUUCAGACGGUUUUACCCCAGGUGACGGGAAUACCAGUAGUGUUCAUAUCAGCACUGGAGGGAAGGGGUCAGGCAGCUGUCAUGCACCAGGUUAUUGAAACAUAUGAAAAAUGGUGUACAAGGUUGUCCACAGCUCGUCUUAACCGUUGGUUGCGCAAGGUUAUGAGUAGGCAUUCCUGGAAAGAUCAGUCUGCUCAACCCAAGGUUAAGUACUUCACACAGGUGAAAGCAAGACCGCCCACUUUUGUGGCCUUUGUUAGUGGGAGGAAAGAGCUCUCUGAUACAGACGUCAGGUUUUUGAAAAGGUCUUUGAAGGAAGACUUUGAUUUGGGGGGAAUUCCAAUCAGGAUCAUGCAGAGGAUUGUCCAUCGGAAGGCUGCCGAUGGCACUAACAAGAGCAGCCAAUUUACUAAUAGAAUGCCUGAUAGGAUCUUCUCUGACAAGAGAACAGUAUCCGGUUGAAUUACCAGUUCUCAGUAAGUUCAACUCAUCAACAACUGAAGUUGUGUAAUUGUUUCAAGAAAUAGUAGAUUUCAUCACCUAAAAUGAUUAUGUUGAAGAACUGAUUAAUGUAGUAUUAUAGGUUCAAUGGGAUAAACAUGCAUGAAGAAGUAAGCAAACUAAAAAGUCAGUAGGUACGUUUGCCCCAAAACCAAUGGUCAUUUUCUAGAUUCUGGUCUGGCUGUGACUUUAGAACAGUAAUGUCUAGUAGAAAUGAUAGACGCAACUGUGACUGGAAAGUCUUAUUCUUGUCUCAAACUCUCAGUCUCUCACUAUAGAGGAAAAUCCAUGAUCAUAAGCUGUUGUUUGGUCUAAACGUUGUCAUUUAUUUGGAUUUUUAUUAGUACUGGUUCUUCAUCUGUCUCCAUAUGUUGUUCAGUAGUUUCGGAUACAAGUUUUCAUUUAUUCAUAUAUUGUCCUUCUCUUUUCCUUUCCUAAUUGCAUUUUGUGAUCUGCCAGAGAGAUGUUAGAUAUUUUGCUUCUGGUGCUUUUGGGGCUGUCAAAGUCUCAAAGCUACAAAUCUGCUCUAGGGUUGGUCUUUGUAGGAUAGUUCUCGACUUUCAGGUUUGUUCAAUUUAAAGUUUUGGGCAGUGUAUCAUAGCAAAGCUGCUACAGCGGUACUUGAGUAUGACACAACAGUUGAAUCAAGAAUACUAAGAAUGAUUUUAUCUACUCUUCAGUUUAGGAUUUGAUUUUCUUGAGACUCAUCUUAUCGUUGAUGAAGUAGAGUCUUCAAUUUGUUUAUCUUAUUGAUGAUGAAGUAGAGAGUAAGGCAUCGGAUUUAUUCAGGUAGUCCUUCAAGGUCUAAGGCUCAACAUGGUGCCUUCCCCACUUGGUCAUUAGUAUGAAAGUUGCAUUACAUAAUGCAUCAUCUUAUACUCAGUCCUAGGUAGUACAGAUUCCAUUUAGUGUUGUUUUACGAGAAAUGCACUUGGAUUAAGAUAAUGAAAUCUCACUACAAUUUCAGUGAGCACAUAAUUCGUUUUGUCAUGCUGAAUAGUUAGUCAUUUCUCAGCCUUCCCGAGUUGAAUUAUUUCUCUUGGGCAUCUACAACAAUUGUUUUUGGGUUUCCUGUGUUUCAUAUAUUAGCAUCUGAGUAAGUAUCAGUCAGCAUAGUCAAAGUGAAAGGUUUUGAGUUUUUGAACAGAUGUUCAAAUGUAUCUGAAACAGAAACCCAGCUUUAUCUGUUUAGUAGAUCUGAGCUGGUAGAGGAAAAAGAAUGGGUGCUGGAACUAAAAUCGUUCAGCUGGAGGUAUGCGAUGAGGAAAAAGGUGGAGUUAUUUUGCCGGAAACUGAUUGAAGCAUGGUCUAUUUGGUCAAGGGAGCUGCAUUGUAUCAGAGAAUAGUUCCGAGACACUUGGACGUACUAGUGAGAAUGCAAGGUUUUCCCUUACAAUCUUAAUUGAUGGAAACUGUACUUUGAGAACUUCUUGAACAUUAUUGGUAUGUG
Molecule: RNA transcript, 3772 nt
Organism: Argentina anserina (silverweed cinquefoil)
Lineage: Eukaryota; Viridiplantae; Streptophyta; Magnoliopsida; Rosales; Rosaceae
Exons: 3
Source: RefSeq, a predicted model, not a curated record